RNAcentral lists this ribosomal RNA (497 nucleotides) under uncultured bacterium. Its description in RNAcentral is "partial 16S ribosomal RNA". It matches the Rfam family "Bacterial small subunit ribosomal RNA", at positions 28 to 507 of the family's 1533-position model. The record is from RNAcentral.
GAUGAACGCUGGCGGCGUGCCUAAUACAUGCAAGUCGAGCGAACAGACGAGGGGCUUGCUCCUCUGACGUUUGCGGCGGGCGGGGGAGGAACACGUGGAUAACCUACCUAUAAGACUGGGAUAACUUCGGGAAAACGGAGCUAAUACCGGAUAAUAUAUUGAACCGCAUGGUUCAAUAGUUAAAGACGGUUUUGCUUUCACUUAUAGAUUGAUCCGCGCCGCAUUAGCUAGUUGGUAAGGUAACGGCUUACCAAGGCAACGAUGCGUAGCCGACCUGAGAGGGUGAUCGGCCACACUGGAACUGAGACACGGUCCAGACUCCUACGGGAGGCAGCAGUAGGGAAUCUUCCGCAAUGGGCGAAAGCUUGACGGAGCAACGCCGCGUGAGUGAUGAAGGUCUUCGGAUCGUAAAACUCUGUUAUUAGGGAAGAACAAAUGUGUAAGUAACUAUGCACGUCUUGACGGUACCUAAUCAGAAAGCCACGGCUAACUACGUG